AUUUUCGAUGAUAGGAUAUCUGAUUCGACGGUCUGCUUUCUUAGGCAUAAUCUACGCUAUUAGAAUUUUUAAAAACCAAAUUUUAUAAUUUUCAACAUCAUUCACUAAGUGACCAAAGGGUCUCAAAAUGACUAUUUUAACGGCCGAUGCAGCAGCUUGAAAGUUCAACGGUGUAAACCAAUCCAAAUUACAUAAAAUUUUAAUAAAAAAAUUCUAUUUAACAUCAAAAAUUAGAUCGGUACUUUUAAUUUGAAAUUUAAGUUUUUUAAUAUUGUUUUUUAUAAAAUUUUAUUUUAUGCCAUUCAUUUUAAGGCUACU
Molecule: long non-coding RNA, 318 nt
Filed under: Ananas comosus (pineapple)
Lineage: Eukaryota; Viridiplantae; Streptophyta; Magnoliopsida; Poales; Bromeliaceae
Description: long non-coding RNA (ACOM_LNC036737)
Source: RNAcentral